Molecule: small nuclear RNA, 319 nt
Filed under: Chinchilla lanigera (long-tailed chinchilla)
Lineage: Eukaryota; Metazoa; Chordata; Mammalia; Rodentia; Chinchillidae
Description: 7SK RNA (ENSCLAG00000021473.1)
Rfam family: 7SK RNA
About the family: 7SK was discovered as an abundant small nuclear RNA in the mid-70s but a possible function has only recently been suggested. Two independent studies have found that 7SK RNA binds the CDK9/cyclin T complex (known as elongation factor P-TEFb).
Source: RNAcentral
GGAUGUGAGGGUGAUCUGGCCUUGCCUCUGUCACCUCAUUGAUCAGUGAGGUUAACUUGGCUGAUCUGGUAGACUAGGAGAGUUCCUCCUCCCUCGCUGUUCUCUUCUUGUAUGUUCUUCUGAAGCUGUGUGCUCAGUGGGAGAGGGUGAUUUGCCCUAGCAGAGGAGGACCAGUCUUCCACCAAAGGGAUGGAAGGAGCUGAACUCCCCUGCUAAGUCCUCCUAAGAAGCCCUCAAGGGCCAUUUGUAGGAGACUGUAGGGUAGUCCAGCUUCCAAGACUCCAAAAGCAGCACUGCAUGUGGCAGCCUGCCUGUCUUA